UUGAGAGUCCAGGCGUCGCAGACAUUAUUUAAUCGCAUUGGAAAGGGAAUCUUGGAACAGAAAGUGGUGACAAAGGGAAGCUAGGGGAGACAAAACUACUCAAAACAUCUGAGUACUUACUAUGUGCAAAGCUUUACAUUUCCCAAGGCAUGUAUCAUUAUCAGGGACAUAAAAUAAAAGACAUUCUCCAACUUCAUUGAAAGGGACCUUAGGCACCUAACUGUGAAUGGACAUCUACCCCUGUCGCUGACACCUCCACCUACAACUCCUUCAAAGACUCCUCAAGGUGAUCCAUUAUUUCAACAAGACAGCAUUGAUACUGAGAAGUCCUAGGAAUGAGCCUUCCCAGUGCUGUGAAACCACACUACCUGACUGAAGGGCUGGUCAUCAGUGCAUUCUUCUGAUUGAUUUAUGACCAAAAGGGAGACUUGUGGAAGCAAAGUCGCUGCUGUAAUAAAUCAUAAAUACCUAACUGGGCAGGUCAUGGUGGGUAGUCACCCCCCAAGCCUAUAAAAAGGUUUACCUUUGUCUUAAACAAGCCCUGACCAUUUUCCUUGUGCAUCUAAACCAAUACACCUUUGAAAUGCCAGAGUAAUCCUCUUUUCAGACUCUUUAGAGGGAGGUGUAACCACCCGCAAGGGAGCACAUAAUUUUGUCAACUAUCCUUGCUUUCUGCCCCCUUCAUGUCGUCUUCCUUACAUUCCCCUGAAUUUUAAAUGUGUAAAAACGCCUGCAAAACUGUCAUUCUCCAGAGCAUUUGAGAUCUUGCACCUCAGCAUGUUGUCAGUUUGGCUCAAAUAAACUCUUAUAAAAAUUCUCUACAGGUUUGGAUCUUUCUUACAUUUACAACGGUGACGAUGGUGAAGAUGACAGUGAUGCUAUUUUGCUGUGGAGUUCUUUGCUCAAAGAAAAUCUUGGGGAAUCCCAAUGCGUUAAACAGAAAAAUGCAGUUUGUCAGCUAGAUUUGGAGCAGAGGGUCUGGGGCCCUGCUGUCAUAGCUCACAUCUUGGGCAGAUCUGCCCAAGGGGCUCUGAGGGGAGCUCUGCCAGGAAAUGACUUCUGAAUAGAGGAGAGGGGCAUGGAAAAGUGGCUCAAGUCAAAUUAUGUCAAGGUGGGGGGUUGGCCCAUAGUUGGUAGAUGUACAUAGUUGGUGACAAAGCAGGGGUCAGGUAAAAUUCCUCCGCCAGGGCUAUGCCAACGGCCUGGAGGAGGGUCAUGCUAGGUGACAACAGUGCUAUGAAAAACAGAGAAUGAACCCCAAAGUCACUACUACAGAAGGAAGAAUGGGCACAGAAAUAAGAUCAAGCAGCCAAAGGUAGCCAAUGAGAGGGAAGAGAAAUGUUGUAAUGAAUCCAGUUUUUUAGAUGUUAAAUAUUACCAUUGCUUUUUUAGAUUAUGUUGAAACAUACAUAACAUAACAUAAAUUUUAUCUACAACUGCUUUUUAAAUUUUACUAUUUUAUUAAAUUAAAAGAUAUUUGCACAAAAUAAAGAAUUCAAACAGUACAAAUAAUCGACGAUGUAAAGUAAGUUUCCUUCCCACCUCAGCUGUCCAGUCCCUUUAGUUCCACUGCCCAGAUCCUUGUUUACAGGAUAGUAACAGAACUGUGUCAGGUGCCAACAAGCAGUUGUUUUAUACAUAUUAGUCUUUUUCACAUAAAUAGUCUGUCCUUUGUUUUAUUAUUUGUUUGUUUGUUUCCCACUGCACAAACCGACCAGGCUUGUUCUCUCGGAGGAGGUUGAUAAAAAGGAGAAAAUUCAGAACUGUGAAAUUCAGAGUAGCUGCCAUGUGACGGGAAGGAAAGCAGGCAGGGAGGAAAGCAAGCUGUGGAGUGAGACCUUGAGCCGGAUGCUGGCUCUGCCACCGUGGGCACACUCUUCGACCUAAACCACAAGUUUGUAUUUUUUUAAAUUUCCCACAGUGCCAUGGUUCUCAGUGGGGGAGGGGUCAAACCACCACCCAAACAAGGGUGUUCGGGAACAGGGGUACAGAUUUUUUUGGUUGUGAAAAUUACUGGGGCCGCUAGCGGCACUUUGAGGAUCGGGCUCAUAGAUGUUCAAGACGUUAGAAUGUUAGCAGCGGACGGUCACAGCCAAGAAUGACUCUGCUCCAAUGCCAAUAGCAUUUGCACUGGGAAACAUCAACUUAGUGGCACACAGUAGCACCAAGGCCUUCCAUUUCCCAUGCGCACAACCCUCACCUCUGAGGGUAGCAAGGCAGCUGUAAGUGCUGUGGAUGCUACUGCGGUGGCCGAGGGAAUAAUAGAGACAGCAUUUUCUCUUGCUCUCUCUUGGGGGAAAAUAUUGUUUUUUCUCCGAAGCUUCCUCUUAGACUUCCUGCUCACCUACUGACUGGGUCACUUGGUCGUUCCUGAACCACUCAUGGGGUGUUCCUCUUAGAUCACAUACUAGUCUGGAGAAGAGGGGAGUGGGCUUCCCCUGAGUGGGAAGGUGGGAUAUCUGUCAGAAAGGAAGAAGGGAGAAUGCGGGCCACUAUGUCACAGGCUGCCAUAAGGAUCCUACAAGGAGAUAAAGUUGCUGUCAGAUAGUGGGAAUGCAAGACAUGUGGGUUCCCUUCCUUCUGCCCUUCAAAAAUGGCCAUUUCCCUGACCCUUCAGUUCUGUCCUGUGGACAAGAAGGUCGGGAAGGCAAAUGAUGGGCCUCCCUCGCAGAAGCUGCUAGAGGCUCUCAAGGGACAUGCAGAAGCAGUAAGUCGUUAUCCGUCCUGCACACCUAACAUUUCUUCCUGUUCUCGGAUAAGAAUUGUGUCAAAUAUAUCAAGAACUUACUUCUUUACACAUCCGUUUAUGUUUGUUAUCAUAAUGAAUAUUUACAGUCAUGCAAAACCAAGACAGAAAAAAUCACUAAAUAUAAGUGAAAUGACUUAAAAGUGGCACAAAAUCUAUGUGAAAAUAAAAAGAGAAUGUACUAAAGCUUGAAAUGUUAAUAGAUAGGAAGUCAAAUAGAUUCUAGUGCUCCAUUUUUUUUUCUAGUGUUCUCUUUAAAAUGGUAGGUUUCAAUGGCUGUGUUCAUUUCAGGAUUUUGGUUGGGUCCUAGUCCAAUCACGUCUAGGAACUUUGCAAGUUACACUGAGAAAAUAUGCAAAUCAUGUUAAAAUCCGGAUCAUCAGAAACAUAAGCAAAAGACAUUAAAAUAGAAAAACCAAAGAAA
Myotis myotis is the source of this 3170-nucleotide long non-coding RNA. RefSeq lists it as uncharacterized. Lineage: Eukaryota; Metazoa; Chordata; Mammalia; Chiroptera; Vespertilionidae. The record is from RefSeq and is a predicted model, not a curated record. The transcript has 3 exons.